UAGGGAAUCUUCCGCAAUGGACGCAAGUCUGACGGAGCAACGCCGCGUGAGUGAAGAAGGAUUUCGGUUCGUAAAACUCUGUUGUUAGAGAAGAACAGCGCAUAGAGUAACUGUUAUGCGUGUGACGGUAUCUAACCAGAAAGCCACGGCUAACUACGUGCCAGCAGCCGCGGUAAUACGUAGGUGGCAAGCGUUGUCCGGAUUUAUUGGGCGUAAAGCGAGCGCAGGCGGUCAAUUAAGUCUGAUGUGAAAGCCCCCGGCUCAACCGGGGAGGGUCAUUGGAAACUGGUUGACUUGAGUGCAGAAGAGGAGAGUGGAAUUCCAUGUGUAGCGGUGAAAUGCGUAGAUAUAUGGAGGGACACCAGUGGCGAAGGCGACUCUCUGGUCUGUAACUGACGCUGAGGCUCGAAAGCGUGGGUAGCAAACAGG
This 429-nucleotide ribosomal RNA is filed under the name Bacteroidota bacterium. RNAcentral describes it as "Bacteroidetes bacterium partial 16S ribosomal RNA". It matches the Rfam family "Bacterial small subunit ribosomal RNA", at positions 355 to 776 of the family's 1533-position model. Lineage: Bacteria; Pseudomonadati; Bacteroidota. The record is from RNAcentral.